This 477-nucleotide ribosomal RNA is filed under the name uncultured bacterium. Its description in RNAcentral is "bacterial SSU rRNA". It matches the Rfam family "Bacterial small subunit ribosomal RNA", at positions 501 to 981 of the family's 1533-position model. The record is from RNAcentral.
CUACGUGCCAGCAGCCGCGGUAAUACGGAAGGUCCGGGCGUUAUCCGGAUUUAUUGGGUUUAAAGGGAGCGUAGGCCGGAGAUUAAGUGUGUUGUGAAAUGUAGACGCUCAACGUCUGACUUGCAGCGCAUACUGGUUUCCUUGAGUACGCACAACGUUGGCGGAAUUCGUCGUGUAGCGGUGNAAUGCUUAGAUAUGACGAAGAACUCCGAUUGCGAAGGCAGCUGACGGGAGCGCAACUGACGCUUAAGCUCGAAGGUGCGGGUAUCAAACAGGAUUAGAUACCCUGGUAGUCCGCACAGUAAACGAUGGAUGCCCGCUGUUGGUACCUSGUAUCAGCGGCUAAGCGAAAGCAUUAAGCAUCCCACCUGGGGAGUACGCCGGCAACGGUGAAACUCAAAGGAAUUGACGGGGGCCCGCACAAGCGGAGGAACAUGUGGUUUAAUUCGAUGAUACGCGAGGAACCUUACCCGGGCU